GAGAUCUAAGUGGGCUCCUGGGUGCGAGCUGAGCCACCGAACAACGGUCUGUGCUUCUCACCACCUCAGCGACAAUGUCGCUGCCGGGCACAGAGUGAGAUCCAGAGAAACACGCGUUCUAGUGGAAACAGACUUUCCGAAUGGGUUUCCGGCCAUCACCACGGUUUCGCAUUAGAUAAAGUGAAGGACAGUAGCUUCCCAGAGGCCACUCCGCUGGGAAGUUGCUCGGCCAGGAUUCGGGCACCCGCA
This is a long non-coding RNA of Panthera uncia (snow leopard), 249 nucleotides long. RefSeq lists it as uncharacterized. The transcript has 3 exons. Lineage: Eukaryota; Metazoa; Chordata; Mammalia; Carnivora; Felidae. The record is from RefSeq and is a predicted model, not a curated record.